Molecule: ribosomal RNA, 574 nt
Filed under: uncultured bacterium
Lineage: Bacteria
Description: bacterial SSU rRNA
Rfam family: Bacterial small subunit ribosomal RNA
Source: RNAcentral
GGGACCCGCACAAGCGGUGGAUGAUGUGGAUUAAUUCNAUGCAACGCGAAAAACCUUACCUACCCUUGACAUGGAUGGAAUCCCGGAGAGAUUUGGGAGUGCCCGAAAGGGAACCAUCACACAGGUGCUGCAUGGCUGUCGUCGGCUCGUGUCGUGAGAUGUUGGGUUAAGUCCCGCAACGAGCGCAACCCUCGCCAUUAGUUGCCAUCAUUUAGUUGGGAACUCUAAUGGGACUGCCGGUGCUAAGCCGGAGGAAGGUGGGGAUGACGUCAAGUCCUCAUGGCCCUUACAGGGUGGGCUACACACGUGCUACAAUGGCGACUACAGAGGGUUAAUCCUUAAAAGUCGUCUCAGUUCGGAUUGUCCUCUGCAACUCGAGGGCAUGAAGUUGGAAUCGCUAGUAAUCGCGGAUCAGCAUGCCGCGGUGAAUACGUUCCCGGGCCCUGUACACACCGCCCGUCACACCAUGGGAGUUGGUUCUACCCGAAGGCGAUGCGCUAACCAGCAAUGGAGGCAGUCGACCACGGUAGGGUCAGCGACUGGGGUGAAGUCGUAACAAGGUAACCGUAAGGGC